Molecule: long non-coding RNA, 289 nt
Organism: Drosophila pseudoobscura
Lineage: Eukaryota; Metazoa; Arthropoda; Insecta; Diptera; Drosophilidae
Exons: 2
Source: RefSeq, a predicted model, not a curated record
AGUGAAUUUGAAAACGUCGUGCAAUCAAACACGUGCCAAUUAAAUUGAAGUUCUGGUGGAUUGUAUUAUUCGGUUUGGUUUAAAGAAGACAAGAGGACUGGGAAUCUUACUACGUUCGACAUCGGGAAAGAGAAAAAGUACCAACUGACCCCUCCAAUAACGAAGUCGUCAAAGUCCAUCGAUUUCUUAGUAGAUCUGGGAAAGGCCUCGGAUUUCCCAGGAACCAGCAUCUACAUAAACCCACGAUAACUACAACCAAAUAAACUAGCAAAAGCCGUCCGAAGAUAUA